RNAcentral lists this RNase P RNA (450 nucleotides) under Candidatus Komeilibacteria bacterium. RNAcentral describes it as "RNase P RNA component class A". It matches the Rfam family "Bacterial RNase P class A". From Rfam's summary of the family: Ribonuclease P (RNase P) is a ubiquitous endoribonuclease, found in archaea, bacteria and eukarya as well as chloroplasts and mitochondria. Its best characterised activity is the generation of mature 5'-ends of tRNAs by cleaving the 5'-leader elements of precursor-tRNAs. Cellular RNase Ps are ribonucleoproteins. The record is from RNAcentral. Lineage: Bacteria; Candidatus Komeiliibacteriota.
CACGUAAGCUGGGCGAGCGGAGCGGCAAUAGCACAGGAGGAGAGGAAAGUCCGAACACCGUUUUCCCGCCCGUGGCGGGGGAUAGUUGGUAACGCCAACCGGCUUCAGAGGCAACUUUGGGGUCAGGACAAGUGCAACAGAGAAUAUGUCUAUUCGUGGAUUACAGGGUAUACCCUCUGCGAAUUAAGAGUGAAAAAGCCAGCUAACGAUCUGGCUCGUUUCUAUGGCGACAUAGAAAAAGAGGUAAACUUCUAUCCGGUGCAAUCUCAAGUAGGCCCCCUUGCAGGAACAGGUUUUAAACCUGUUCCUGCAAGGGGGCGGGUUGAGAGCUUGAAUCUGAGCCGCAAGGCACAGAUCUAGAUAGAUGAUCAUCAUCCGUGCUGUCGGGGCAGGUUUAAACCCGCCACGACAGCACGGACACAGAAUUCGGCUUAUUAAUUUGAAUGGGCA